This 73-nucleotide transfer RNA is filed under the name Cordyceps militaris CM01. Its description in RNAcentral is "tRNA-Lys (CTT) (tRNA-Lys-CTT-3-1)". It matches the Rfam family "tRNA". From Rfam's summary of the family: Transfer RNA (tRNA) molecules are approximately 80 nucleotides in length. Their secondary structure includes four short double-helical elements and three loops (D, anti-codon, and T loops). Lineage: Eukaryota; Fungi; Ascomycota; Sordariomycetes; Hypocreales; Cordycipitaceae. The record is from RNAcentral.
GCCUGGUUAGCUCAAUCGGUAGAGCGUGAGACUCUUAAUCUCAAGGCUACGGGUUCGACCCCCGUAUCGGGCU